RNAcentral lists this ribosomal RNA (253 nucleotides) under uncultured bacterium. RNAcentral describes it as "partial 16S ribosomal RNA". It matches the Rfam family "Bacterial small subunit ribosomal RNA", at positions 524 to 776 of the family's 1533-position model. The record is from RNAcentral.
UACAGAGGUCUCAAGCGUUGUUCGGAUUCAUUGGGCGUAAAGGGUGCGUAGGCGGCGGGGCAAGUCAGGUGUGAAAUCUCGGGGCUCAACCCCGAAACUGCACUUGAUACUGCCUUGCUCGAGUACUGGAGAGGAGACUGGAAUUUACGGUGUAGCAGUGAAAUGCGUAGAUAUCGUAAGGAAGACCAGUGGCGAAGGCGAGUCUCUGGACAGUUACUGACACUGAGGCACGAAGGCCAGGGGAGCAAACGGG